GGUCUGGGUUGAUGAACAGAUUCCAAUCUGUUGCCUUCCUACCGAGCUCCUGACGGAGCACUGAUGCUGUUUCUACACGAGAUUACUGACCAGACC
This 96-nucleotide small nucleolar RNA is filed under the name Chlamydomonas reinhardtii. RNAcentral's name for it is "CrCD11j snoRNA". Lineage: Eukaryota; Viridiplantae; Chlorophyta; Chlorophyceae; Chlamydomonadales; Chlamydomonadaceae. The record is from RNAcentral.